Molecule: non-coding RNA, 205 nt
Filed under: Clostridium amylolyticum
Lineage: Bacteria; Bacillati; Bacillota; Clostridia; Eubacteriales; Clostridiaceae
Description: T-box sequence
Rfam family: T-box leader
About the family: Uncharged tRNA acts as the effector for transcription antitermination of genes in the T-box leader family. T-boxes are found upstream of many aminoacyl-tRNA synthetase genes and some amino acid biosynthetic genes usually in Gram-positive bacteria. The anticodon of a specific tRNA base pairs to a specifier sequence within the T-box motif, and the NCCA acceptor tail of the tRNA base pairs to a conserved bulge in the T-box antiterminator hairpin.
Source: RNAcentral
UACUAUGCUGUGAAAUGGAGUAGUAAUAUUCCUUAUAGUUUAAGAGAGUUGCUGGUUGGUGAAAAGCAAUACUAUAAUAAUAUGAACUCGCCAUGGAGCUUAUCUGAAGAAAAUCAGAUACGUCAAUUACGUUAUAAUUUUGAGGUGAGAUGCCUAUGCAUCUAACUAGAGUGGUACCGCGGAAUAUACUCCUUUCGUCUCUAUA